Molecule: long non-coding RNA, 922 nt
Organism: Metopolophium dirhodum (rose-grain aphid)
Lineage: Eukaryota; Metazoa; Arthropoda; Insecta; Hemiptera; Aphididae
Exons: 3
Source: RefSeq, a predicted model, not a curated record
CAGAAGUUAUAUUUAUAAUUAGAAAUUUUUUUUUUUUUCAGAUAUGUUGCCAGUUCUUUGUUUUUAUUUGUAAUGUAACAUUGUGUGGGGAAAAAACUCGUAUAUGUUCAAGCUUUACACCACACAGUUAUGUAUCAUACCCAGAAAAGAUUGGAGAACUGAUGGGAGAUGAAUUUUUUAUUAUUGUCAUACCUGCGGAUUACAUGUGCAUGAAAUGCUCAUCCCUUUUGAUUCAUAUGGACAAGCUGGAAAAUGAUCUGAAACUUGUUAAAAAUGCAAUAUUAACCAACGUACAAAAGAAAUACAGAAUGUUGCCUGCUGAUCAGCCUGAACAUUCCUCUAGUGCUAGUGGAAGUAAUGCUGCAACUAAAAUAAGACAAGACCCUUCAAAUAUAUAACCAGUAACCAUUUAAAGUGUUGUUGUACAAAAAAGAAAGAUAGUGAAAAAUCAAAACAAACUGUGACAAAAACAGUAACCCAGUGCGACGAGGGACAUUGCAACAAAUCUGCAAUAAUAACGUGUAAAUGUAGUAAGGCGAACUACUGUUCUGAUAGCUGCAGAACACGCCACUGGUAUGUGAAGAAAGACAGACUCGAUCCUAAACUUUCCAUUACAUAAAUAAAUAAUUUUAAUGUGAUAUAUUUUAUAUAAGGUUUUUCAUGAAAAUAUUUUUAUUUUUAUGUUUAAAAUAUAACGGAUCAUGUUUUAAUAAUUUAAUAUUUCUUAAAUUUGUAUAAUUAAUAUUAUGAUUGAUUACUAAUAUGCAUAAUCUAAUAUUACUACAUAGUUUUUAGGAUUCUAUGUAUUUUUUAUAUGUACCUACUACAGUCAUUUUUUGUAUUUUUUAUGUUAUAUAUCAACAUUUUUACUAAUUGUAUUGCUAUCUUACCUAGUAUGUUUAUAUACCUAAUUAUACAAAGA